RNAcentral lists this ribosomal RNA (387 nucleotides) under uncultured bacterium. RNAcentral describes it as "bacterial SSU rRNA". It matches the Rfam family "Bacterial small subunit ribosomal RNA", at positions 29 to 434 of the family's 1533-position model. The record is from RNAcentral.
AAUGAACGUUGGCGGCGUGGAUUAGGCAUGCAAGUCGAGCGAGAACCGUAGCAAUACGGGGAAAGCGGCGCAAGGGACAGUAAUGUGUAGGUACCUACCCCUGGGUUCGGGAUAGCCGCGGGAAACUGCGGGUAAUACCGAAUAACGUCUUCGGACCAAAGGUGUGAUUCCACCUGGGGAGGGGCCUGCAUCCUAUUAGCUAGUUGGUGAGGUAACGGCUCACCAAGGCCAUGAUGGGUAGCAGGNGUGAGAGCACGACCUGCGUCACCGGGACUGAGACACUGCCCAGACACCUACGGGUGGCUGCAGUCGAGAAUCUUCGGCAAUGGGCGCAAGCCUGACCGAGCGACGCCGCGUGCGGGAUGAAGGCCUUCGGUUGUAACCGCU